RNAcentral lists this long non-coding RNA (1174 nucleotides) under Ananas comosus (pineapple). RNAcentral describes it as "long non-coding RNA (ACOM_LNC028642)". Lineage: Eukaryota; Viridiplantae; Streptophyta; Magnoliopsida; Poales; Bromeliaceae. The record is from RNAcentral.
AUUUUUCUGUUAUCGAAGAUUUUUUUAUUCCGCUCUAGCAACAGAGCCUACCAAACUGACUGAAACGACGGUCGAUAAUUCCCUUUUCCUCACGGUACCCCACUUAGCAUUACUAUUGUUCCAGAGCGCAUCAGUUGAAUCGCAAGAUAUCAUACUCAUAUUAUAUUCUAUGUGAAACUAUUGGUACAUAUAUUCCUUCCCCGCCCUUUCUAGCUAGUUAUUUGGAACUAUAGGUACGAAUUCUAGUACCGCAAGGUUUUCUAACCCUAUUCUGUUUUGAUUAUCCCAUUAAGUUAAAUUUAGAUUAUGCCUAAUUUUAUUGAGAUAUUCCUAAUCUUAGUAGAUUUGUAUUCCUAGUUGUAUUAGGAUUUAGCUACUAUUAUAAAUAUACCCUUUAUACCAUUGAUUUGGUGCGGAAGAUGAGAGGUGUAUUUUUUGCGAUUAGGGUUUUGUGAGAGAGGCAUAUUUUGUACACCACUUUGAUUCUAAUGAAGAUUUUCGCUCCGUCUUCGCCCGUGGACGUAGGCCGUUGGCCGAACCACGUAAAUAUUGUGUGCUUUAUUUUUCUUCUCUCUUUCUCGGAUUUCUUUUGGUAUUUUCGCAUCCGACGAAUUAGAUCUUCUCGGUUUUAGUUCUAACAAACUGGUAUCAGAGCCUUUCUAUUCCCUUUGAAGAUUAAGAUGACGACGAAGUUCGAGAUUCAGAAAUUUGACAGGACCAACAGUUUCACAUUAUGGGAAGUCAAGAUGCGUGCAGUAUUGACGCAGCAAGAAUUGCAGAAGGCACUGUUGGGAAAAGAAAAGAUGCCCGAUUCGUUAAUGGCAGUUAGCAGCAUUUGAGACCCUAUGGGGCGUUUGGAGAAGACGGAGAACGGAGCGUUAAGGAGCAUUGAGGCGAAUUAAAUUCAAGGUGGAGUUUUUUGGCGAUCUCGACAUAGCGGCGGCUAAACUACAAAUUAACCCAAGGUGGAGAUUAUUAUAUUUGGUUUAGAUUUGUAGUUAUCUAAAUUGAAAUUAAAUCCUAAUCUAAUUAGGAUUGGAUAUAAUUUAGAUUUAAAUUGGCAUAUAUGGAUUAUGAGUCGGAAUCUAAUUUAUAAUUGAAUUAGGAUUAGACUCUAUUUAGGAGACAUGUAUUAUAAAUAUAUGCUAUGACCAAAUUAAUCGCCGCGACUCAA